UACGUAGGGUGCGAGCGUUAAUCGGAAUUACUGGGCGUAAAGCGUGCGCAGGCGGUUCUCCAAGUCCGUUGUGAAAGCCCCGGGCUCAACCUGGGAAUGGCAGUGGAAACUAGGGGACUGGAAUCUGGCAGAGGGGGGUAGAAUUCCACGUGUAGCAGUGAAAUGCGUAGAUAUGUGGAGGAACACCGAUGGCGAAGGCAGCCCCCUGGGUCAAGACUGACGCUCAUGCACGAAAGCGUGGGGAGCAAACAGG
Molecule: ribosomal RNA, 253 nt
Filed under: uncultured bacterium
Lineage: Bacteria
Description: partial 16S ribosomal RNA
Rfam family: Bacterial small subunit ribosomal RNA
Source: RNAcentral